AAAAGAACCAUAUGAAACACAAGAUGGCAAACAUGUAGAAGGAAAAUUAAACUAAUGCCAGCAGCUCAGUUUUGCUUAA
Molecule: non-coding RNA, 79 nt
Organism: Vicugna pacos (alpaca)
Lineage: Eukaryota; Metazoa; Chordata; Mammalia; Artiodactyla; Camelidae
Source: Rfam